GCCUCUGUAGCUCAGUCGGUAGAGCACAUCCAUGGUAAGGAUGGGGUCACCAGUUCGAAUCUGGUCGGAGGCU
This 73-nucleotide transfer RNA is filed under the name Spirochaeta sp. Its description in RNAcentral is "tRNA-Thr". It matches the Rfam family "tRNA". From Rfam's summary of the family: Transfer RNA (tRNA) molecules are approximately 80 nucleotides in length. Their secondary structure includes four short double-helical elements and three loops (D, anti-codon, and T loops). The record is from RNAcentral. Lineage: Bacteria; Pseudomonadati; Spirochaetota; Spirochaetia; Spirochaetales; Spirochaetaceae.